This is a long non-coding RNA of Callorhinchus milii (elephant shark), 1316 nucleotides long. RefSeq lists it as uncharacterized. NCBI's taxonomy places the organism in Eukaryota, Metazoa, Chordata, Chondrichthyes, Chimaeriformes, Callorhinchidae. The transcript has 3 exons. The record is from RefSeq and is a predicted model, not a curated record.
UUGCCAUAAAAAUCUUCCAAACGUCUCCUUGGUUCUAUAGAGCUACACUCAAUGCUUGAAGCUCACAGCGCUGCCAGAAAGAGUCGACAAUGAAGAGUAUUGUGCUUCUCGUGGUCGGAUCAGCGCUCCUUCUGCAAACAAUUAUUGCCAAGGCGGCAGAGCCUGAGGUAAACAAGGCACCUCAAGUCAAUGAGCCGUUGAAUGAGCCAGAGGAAGAUCGAGAUAUGAUCCACCACGGAAAUUUUGAUAUUCCUCGACAGACAUUUCGUCGAGAGAAGUUGGUGCUCCCGUAUAAUCCAAUGAAUGAGCCAGAAGAAGACAGAGAUAUGAUUCAUCAUGGUUUCUGAACUCUGCCUCAUGUUAUGGGAGCGGGAGAUUGCUUCAUUGAUUUAGUUUGUUAAUUUGAUUGCAACUUAAUUUAUUUUGAAGAUUUAUUUUAUCAUGGGCCGAGGAUGCAAUCCAACAAAUUUAUUUGGUGCACAAAAUCUUUCUGUAAAUCUUGGUCUAUUUCACAUAGGAAAUGGCAUACAAAUUAAAUGCAAAUUUUACCACAAGGUAUCUAAAUAAACACAAGUCACUUCACUUUGUAGUAAAUCAUGUGAAAUGCUUUGAAAUGUCCUUCCAACCUGUUACGGUGCUACACCGAAUGCAAGGAUAAUUAUUAUUAUAUAUAAACUCUAUUGUUCCCAGGGCAUUACCAGCCACUGGUGAAAGCUAUGGCAAUAAAUGACAAAAGUAUACAAUCAAAGUUGUUUAAAGGUUGAUCAAUCUAAUUUAUACUUUGAAGCUCAGUUGAAAUAGUUUUUGGUAACUGGUGCAUACUCCCAGCACUUAUUGCUCAAUGGUUAUUGUGCAAUGGUUAUUUUGGUGUUCAAACUAUAUUUGGCUUUCCUACCAAUAUGUCACACUGUGAAUUACUCAUGGGUAUUAAAGAGUUCCUAAAUAUAAGGGAACAUGAGCUCAAGUUGUAACACGGGGCUUGAGCCCACAUCCUUCUGAUCCAGAGGUGUGCGUGUUCACAACUGAGCCAAGCUAACACCUGCACACAAGCAUGCCAUUGGGAAAUGUGUGGAUUUCCCAAGCAAGUUCCUACAACCCAUGGACAAAUUAAGCCUUUCAGCAAAACUUUCAUAUGUUACAAUAUCCAUCUUGCUUUAUUUUGUUUCAAAAAGAAACAUUGUUCCACAGACCUGCUACAGAUUUUGUCUCAUUUCCACAUUAACCCAUCUGGCCUCGAUACUUGUAGCUUCUGUGGUGAUGUAAACCCUGUGGAUAAUUCUUUACUGAUUCAAAUAAAACCAAGGAUUUGUGGUCAA